Molecule: long non-coding RNA, 263 nt
Filed under: Lathyrus oleraceus (garden pea)
Lineage: Eukaryota; Viridiplantae; Streptophyta; Magnoliopsida; Fabales; Fabaceae
Description: Pisum sativum (pea) long non-coding RNA (PSAT_LNC010398)
Source: RNAcentral
AACCACUUCAGCUCGUAUCCAGAGUGUGAUGCAUGAAGUAUGUCCAUGCUCUCGGAAUGGGGUUCAUAUCCAUAACAAGCAUUUUAUACGGGUUGGGUUUUGCUAUUUGUUGUCAAUCUUUACCUGACUGAGCUAAAAUGUCUUGAAAUUCCUUAUAUGGCCAGCCGACUCGAGAAGAAGAUUUUAUCAUAUGGAAUUUGCAGUUGGAUUCUUGAAACUUAAACUUCAAUACUUUGUUAAUAUUCUUCCAAUCGAACUCAAUU